Molecule: ribosomal RNA, 804 nt
Filed under: Lucknowia microcephala
Lineage: Eukaryota; Metazoa; Platyhelminthes; Cestoda; Caryophyllidea; Lytocestidae
Description: partial large subunit ribosomal RNA
Rfam family: Bacterial large subunit ribosomal RNA
Source: RNAcentral
CUAGGCCGAGGGCUCAUUGUACUAAUGUGGACCGAAAUUUUGCAGAUCUGUAGUAUCACUGGCCUGUGUGUUUGGCGGGUUGCUUUUGAGAUGUUAUUACAGCGGUGAUAAAUUAUUCGUUGCAAAUUAUAGCUGUGUGAUGGGGAUGUUAUUUCUAGUGAGCAAGUUGGCGAAGAGGUCCAUUUGUCGAUUAUACACUUGUUUUAUGGCAGUGGUUGCUAGGGUUGAGAUUACCCGUGCAUAUUGAGUGUGUUUUUACUCAUGCAAGUGUGUGAUGUGUUAAGUUUUAUACCCGUCUCAGUAACGUUUUGUGUAUUUAUGGUCUAAUAAGUAAUUAUAAUAGUUGUGUUUUUUCUCAGUGGUGAUCCGACUGUUUAUUAAAAACAUUUCCUUGCGUUUCUAGUGCAAGGUAGGGCCUGCCCGGUGCAGAGUAAACGGCCGCAGUAUUAUGACUGUGCGAAGGUAGCAUAAUUAAUUGCCUCAUAAUUGGGGGCUUGUCUGAAUGGCUUAACGCGAUUGUUACGAAGAUUACAACUUUUUGUGAAAUUAAUUUUACGGGUGCGGAGUCCGUAGUAGAUAAUAAGACGGAAAGACCCCAGGAUCUUUCAUUUUUGUCUGGGGCAGAUCCUGUUUAUUCAAUAGGUUUAUGACCCGCUGAUUGAUGGUUUAAGUUACCCUGGGGAUAACAGGGUUAUAGCCCAGUAGAGACCAAAUCGAUUGGGCUGAUUGCCACCUCGAUGUUGACUUGGGGGAGAUAGUUGACGCAGUCGUUGAUAAAUCGGGUCUGUUCGACCCUUAAACCCC